AGAGUUUGAUCAUGGCUCAGGAUGAACGCUAGCGGCAGGCCUAAUACAUGCAAGUCGAACGCUCAGUAGCAAGUACUGGGAGUGGCGCACGGUGCGUAACGCGUACACAAUCUACCUCUAAGCGGGGGACACCUCCUGGAAACGGGGAUUAAUACCGCAUAAUAUGCCGAAGUCGCAUGACUUUGGUAUUAAAGCAGCAAUGCACUUAGAGAUGAGUGUGCGUCCCAUUAGGUAGUUGGUGAGGUAACGGCUCACCAAGCCUAUGAUGGGUAGCCGGUCUGAGAGGAUGGUCGGCCACACGGGCACUGAGACACGGGCCCGACUCCUACGGGAGGCAGCAGUAAGGAAUAUUGGUCAAUGGUGGAAACACUGAACCAGCCAUGCCGCGUGGAGGAAUAAGGUCCUACGGAUUGUAAACUCCUUUUGACGAGGAAGAAAAUGUUAGAUUUAUCUAAUUUUGACGGUACUCGUAGAAUAAGCACCGGCUAACUCCGUG
RNAcentral lists this ribosomal RNA (496 nucleotides) under uncultured bacterium. RNAcentral describes it as "bacterial SSU rRNA". It matches the Rfam family "Bacterial small subunit ribosomal RNA", at positions 8 to 507 of the family's 1533-position model. The record is from RNAcentral.